Molecule: ribosomal RNA, 511 nt
Filed under: uncultured bacterium
Lineage: Bacteria
Description: partial 16S ribosomal RNA
Rfam family: Bacterial small subunit ribosomal RNA
Source: RNAcentral
GACGAACGCUGGCGGCGUGCCUAAUACAUGCAAGUCGAGCGGAACUGGGGGAGCUUGCUCCUUCCAGUUUAGCGGCGGACGGGUGAGUAACACGUGGGCAACCUGCCCUGCAGAUCGGGAUAACUCCGGGAAACCGGUGCUAAUACCGAAUAGUUUGGCGCCUCUCCUGAGGCGCCACGGACAGACGGUUUCGGCUGUCACUGCAGGAGGGGCCCACGGCGCAUUAGCUAGUUGGGGGGUAACGGCCCACCAAGGCGACGAUGCGUAGCCGACCUGAGAGGGUGACCGGCCACACUGGGACUGAGACACGGCCCAGACUCCUACGGGAGGCAGCAGUAGGGAAUCUUCCGCAAUGGACGGAAGUCUGACGGAGCAACGCCGCGUGAGUGACGAAGGUUUUCGGAUCGUAAAACUCUGUUGUGAGGGAAGAACACGUACCAACUAACUAUUGGUACCUUGACGGUACCUCACCAGAAAGCCACGGCUAACUACGUGCCAGCAGCCGCGGUAA